Molecule: long non-coding RNA, 1217 nt
Organism: Micropterus salmoides (largemouth bass)
Lineage: Eukaryota; Metazoa; Chordata; Actinopteri; Centrarchiformes; Centrarchidae
Exons: 3
Source: RefSeq, a predicted model, not a curated record
ACACAGCAGACAGGCUGCCAGCUGCUUUCACACCUGUAGUUUGCAGGAAUUUGGGGUCUUAUCAGAUGGUGCGGGCCGGAGCGAAGCACGUCACCUUCAUAAUGGGGUUCCUCACCAGCUGGACCUGUACUAUUGUUUUGUUCAUCCUCUGCGAGUCCUGCAGGACUGUUUCUUGACCCAGGGGUUUUGUUAACAGGAAGGUUAUGGAAAGUUUACUCAGUUAUGUGCAGAGGGAAUGAAAUUCUGGUCACCACGCCACAAUUAGUAUCAUGCAAUUAAAUUGAUGAAUCUCAGCAUGGUUUGAUUUUCACUGCUCUGCAGGUGAUGAUGCUCGUCUCUAUGAAACAAUCAAAGGAUCCAAAGACACUAAAAAUGAUGCAGAUGAAUCCCAGGAUGAAGAUUUUCUUUGACUGAACUUAAAAACACUGGGAAGAAAGGGAAGCAACAUGAACCAGAGGAGAGCUCUGUUUACUCUGAGGUGAAGAUAGGAACCCCGAGUACAGUCAGUUACAACAGGCCUGCUCAGAGUUUGGAUUAAAAUGUGUCAGAUCACCACACAGUUUAACUUUGUCUGUUUCAUAUUCAUACAGAGAAAUAGGCGUAUCAUUCCUUUUCCCUAAAGGAACAUUUGUCAAAAAAGUACCCUGUACAUAACUUUACCUUUAACAAGCUUAAAGUACAGUGAAAUGAUGUGUCAGUGAUCCCCCGCCCCCAGGACAUGAAAGGUUGGUGAUGGCACAACCACCAAUGUGUCCCUGGGCAAGACACUUAACUCCUAGUUGCUCCAGAGGAGUGCGACCCCAGAUAUAUAUUGUAAGUCGCUUUGGAUAAAAGUAUCAACUAAAUGAAUAAUUGUAAAGGAACAUUUUUGUCACUAGAGGUGCAGAAAAGUUCUUUUAGAGGUUCAGACAAGAAGGUACAAAACUGUACCAACUUCAAAGGUACAGUCCUCGUACGCUGCUAGGGUACAGCUGGAGCGACCAAGCAUUUGUACCUUUUUAGGUCCAUUCCUGUACCUCAAUUUCUGUGUGUGUGUGUGUGUCUCAUUUGUUUCAAUUACAUUUGCAUGUAAUAAACUUAAACUGAAUAGUUUUUUUCACAUUACAUGCACACGUUUUCCUCUGUCUCUUUAAAAAUGUAUUGAUAUGCAUCAUGUUUUUUAUUAUAAUUUUAAAAUCUUUUUGGUUAUUUUAUGUAGCCUAUCAAUAAAAUUUUUU